CUCCUGACGCGCUCGGGCCGGGGCGCAGGGGCCUGGUCCCCGGGCCGUGGCGCUCGGACGGCUCGUGCCGCCGCAGCGCGGGGCGCCAGGGGUUCGGGCGGGGACCGACCGCCGCGCUCUCCGCGCCUGAGCUGCGGCGCCCGCGCUUCGCCCCGCGCUCUCGGCUGCCCCAGAAGGAGGCGUCGGUGCACACCCCGUCCGCCGGGCCUCCCCGUUCGACCGCACGCGCUGAGCCCCGCCGGGCUCCGAGCAAGGGACGCGGCCGCGGGUUCGAGCGACGGUCUCGUCGCUUCCGCUUUCCCCGCUUACACGGCCGGGCGGCUGCUCGCUGCUGUCCGCGCCCCGACGUUCGCAGGCGGGUGUCCGGCUCCGCGCCGGCCGCCUCCGCAGGGGACAGCGGACUCGUUGCUCUCGGCGCUCCGUGUGCUGGUUGGUCACUGAUCGGCCUCGGGGCGCGGCGGGCAGAGACGGGGAGGCCGGCUCCACGCAGAGUCACCGCCGCAGCGUCCCCGCGGGGCUCGUCCCGAGGUCCUGCCGUCACCACCUGAGCGACAGCCGGAGUCCGGGGCUCGACCGCCCGGGGGCCUCGCCGGGGCCGCCUUCCCGUGCCCGGGGCCGCCUUCCCGUGCCCGGGGCCGCCUUCCCGUGCCCAGCCCCGCUCGUGAUCGUGAUCGCGAGCACCUCCUGCCGCUACGUCGUUGGGCUUCAACAUGGGGACCUUGGGGGCUCAGACGCGCAGACCCAAGAUGGUUCCUUGCAUUUCUUUCUUGUCACUGCCCGCGAGCGUGUCCUCACCCGCUCGCCAGCGGCUGGACGUCUGCGCGAUUUCUCGUCUUUCCGUUGUUUCCGUCGGUGCUGCUGUUGGGAACACUGCCUCUCGGUGCUCCUGCACAACCACUGCCCCGGGGUGUGCUUCCCUGCAGUGCGAAGGGUGGGCCUCGGCGGUGUCCGUGUUGGACGUGCUGUGAUCUGUCACUCCUUUAUUCCAAGUGGCUGUCGGGCUUGCGCUUCUGCCAACGUCCGUGUCUUCCCUGCUGCCCCAGACUUCUCGUUUUGGGGCAGUGAGAUGGGGGUUAGAUGGUGUCUCACCGCAGCCUUAUAAGGCAUGUCCCCGAGGCCAUGUGUACACAUCUGGUGUAUUCUCUGGGCAUCUGCAUCUUCCUUCGCUGAAGUGUCAGUGUCCGGGCUGCAGGGAUUUCAGGGCGCGUGACGGAAGAAGAUGUGCCCCGAGAUGGCAGUAACACAUGCGGGCUUUCUCUGGGUGGGCUUUGACAGAUUUGUAGUGGGAAGUCCCUCCCAGAACUGGACCAUCCAGAGACACCCCCCACCCCCCCACCCCGGCAGCCAGAGGAGGAGGAGGGCAAGGAAGUCCCCAGAUGGUUAGGUGACCUUGGGCCACAGCCCAGCGGGAAGUCUCUGGGUCAGAAAGCUCCCAAGGGCAGCCUCAGUGUGGCAGCCUCAUAACCACGGGGUUUACCCUGUGACGAGCAGGUGUUGGUCGCAGUUUCGAGAAGUAUGCAGUACAGACCGGCGGCCGUAAGUGGAGAAAAGUCUGCUUGUUGGGGCCGUGUUUAAAACAACCGGAUGUGUAAAAAUGUGCGCUUGGUACUUACUGGCAGGCAUUGAACUUACAGGCCCCAAUGUGCUGCAGAGAAACGAGUAACCUGGGGGCCAGUAUGCAGAGGCCAUCGUUGGCUCACUUUUAUGAUACCCACUUCGUGUCUUUUGCUCCUUUUUAUUAUUAUUAUUUUUUUACUGGAUUGUACUGAAUACUACAAUUCAGUAGAUGUGUUGCAAGUUUCUUUCAUAUGUGCCUUGUUUUCUCACCUCCUAUCUUGAUAAAUUUAUGUCGUUAACUUCGAGUUUAUAAACUAGUUUUUUCCCCCUCAUCCUAAUAUAUAUUAACUUACUCUUCUAAAAAUAUUUAGUUUUGCUUUUGACAUUUGAAUUCUUAUGCUCUCUGGAAUUUAAUUUAUGGUUUUACUUUCUACACACAAAUGUCUCUCCUCCCAACCCAGGUUUAUUUUUUUCACUAGCCCCACUUUUCCCAACUAAUUGUCAUGUCAGCUUGGUCAUAUAGUAACAUUCCAUUCAUGGGUGGCUGUAUUUCUCUAAACUGCUUAGUCUGUUCUCUGCACAAGGAAGAUAGCUUACUUAGUAACCACACCACACCGCUCAGUCACCGUAGCUGUAGAAAAGGUCUUGAUUAUUUAGUAGGGCGAAUCUUCCUUAAGUUUCUUCUUCGUUUUAUAUUUGGGCUAUUCUUGAUUCUGUGUUUUCCGUACGUAUUUUAGAGCAAGCUUGUCAAGUCACACAGACAUAUGCACUGGGCCUGUUGGGAUUUUAAUUGGCGUUGCAUUGAAUAUACAGAUCAAUUUGGGUAGAAUUCAUAUCUUUAUGAUUCUGAGUCUUCAAAUUCAUAAACAAGGGAUAGCUAUCUUUUUAUUGGGUCUUCAUUAAUGUCUUCCAAGUAAAGGUUUGUUGUUUUCUGUUUCCAGAUCUUACACAUUUUGUGUUGCGUUUAUUCCUAGAUACUUCGUACUUUUUUUGCCAUUGUAAGUGAUCCCCUUUAAACUGAUACUUUGUAAUAGUUUAUAGAUAAAGUAGAAAUAAGUAGGAGUUUUGUAAAUUGUGGCUGGAUGGAACAGUUUGUCAUUGGUUUUAGUAACUUGUUCUUUCUAAUAAUUUGUUGAUUGGGGUUUUCUGUAUAAACAAUUAUUGUAUGAAAAUAAUGUCAGUUCCAGUCAUUUUGCUUUUUAUUUUCCUUAAAGUAUAACACUGGUUAGGACCUCUAGUACAAGGUCAGUAGCGAUGGCGAUGUCUUCUUGACGUUCUUGACUGGGCGCUUUACUUGAUCCUGAUUUUGAAAAGGAAAUUUAGAAUUAUUUUUUAGGUUUUUUGGUACAGAAAUUUAGAGCAGUCUUUUUACAGGCUUUUUGUAAAUCCCUUUUGUGAAAGAAGGACCCUCUUUUUCUUAGUUUACUGAAAAUUCUUUAUUUUGUUUUUUUUUAAUUCUUUAUUUUGAAUGGACAUUGAAUUUAAUCAAAUUUUUCCUUUGACUAUUGAGAUGAUCAUAUUUUUCUCACCCUUUAAUAUAUUAAUAUGGUAAAUGCCAUUUAUAGACUUCCUACUAUUAGAUUAUCCUUGCAUUCUUUUUUUUUUUUUUUUUUAAGAUUUUAUGUAUUUGAGAGGGCAAGCAGGAGCGGGGGGAGGGAGAGGGAGAAUCAGGCUCUCUGCUGAGUAGGGAGCGUGACACACUCAGCUUGAUCCCAGGACUCCUGGGACCAUGACCUGAGCCAAAGGCAGAUGCUUAACCGAAUGAGCCACCAGGGCGCCCUGUCCUUGCAUUCUUAGGAUAAACUACUCGACCAUAAAGUAUGACCAAUCUUAUAUGCCUUUGUGCUCAGCCUAUAUGCUGCGUAGGAUUUUUGCAUUUGUAUUAAUGAACAACAUGGGCUUGUGAUUUCCCUUUCUCAUUUUGCCUUCAUCUGUGUUUUAAGGCUCAAGGAAUGAUACAAGGAGUGUUCUAUUUAUAUGUCCUCUGGAAGAAUUUGAAUAAGAUUGGAAUGCUCUCUACCUUCAACUUUCGGUAGAAUUCACGUAUAAAACUGUAAGGGAUGGGCGUUAUCUUUGUGGGAAGACAUUUAUUUAUGUAUUUUUAUUGUUAAAGUAAACUCAGCCCAGGUUGGAGCUCCAGCGCAAGAGCCAGAGCUGCCCCGUGGCCGGCUGAUCCCCGUGAGCGCCCCGCGGGCCGAUCUCACAAUACUGCUGUAAUUCGGUUAAUACUUAUGUGAGUGCUUAGAUAUCUUAUUUCUCCUUGAAGUGGUUUAAGUAAUAUGUCUCUAGGAAUUUUCCCAAUUCGUCUAAGUUUAACAUUUAUUGGCAUGUCGUUGUUGGGAUGUUCUCUUCUCAAUCUCUCCUGUGUUUGCAGUUAAUUUCUUCUUUUUCACUUACAAUAUUGCUUGUAGUAGACGGUGUUCCCUCAAUAUCGGCUCCCCUUCUUGGAAGAGGACCAGACAUCCCCACCUAUUGUCAUGUGGAGUGCCUCUUGUGUACCCACCCAGCUGACAGUCACUGUAGUCAAGAUGACAUCUAUCCAAGCAGAAACCUAAAAAGAUAUCCUGUGUAUUUGCCCUGGCUCUCUGGAUCUUUCUCUCUUCCACAAAGAUGGCAUGUCUGUGCCUGGGGGUCCCAGGACGGAGAGGACGCAUGGAGGAAAGUCUGACAAUAGACGUCCGUUUGGGUUCUCGAACAGGGAAGGAAGUCGAGCCGGUGAGGUGCACUUACAGACCAGCUCCACUUAGUGCCACGGGAAUGACUCAGCCUCGCGGGACCAGCCUCCAAGCAGCCAUGUGAAGUCUGUCUCAGGAAAGUCUGCCUGGGGAGUACUUUAAAGACACCUUCAAUCACUCAGUAAACUCUCUUGGGUCCAGCACUUAAUGAAACACUGACCUAGAGAACAGUGGCGCCUUACCCAAACCUUGGAGAGAAGCCAGAUAAAGAGAGAGCCCCACAGGAGAGGCAGGUCCUAGAGUCAACAUACACAGAAUUACGAUAACUGAUUCUUGUGUUCCGGAAAUUAAAUGAUAAGAUGGACAAUUUCAGGAGAGAACAGGAGACUAUAAAAAAAGAACCAAAUGGAAACUCUAGAACUGAACAGUGCCAUGAAGGAUACUAGUAAUAAAUGGGUUUAACUGUU
Long non-coding RNA from Lutra lutra (Eurasian river otter), 4699 nucleotides. RefSeq lists it as uncharacterized. The transcript is spliced from 3 exons. Lineage: Eukaryota; Metazoa; Chordata; Mammalia; Carnivora; Mustelidae. The record is from RefSeq and is a predicted model, not a curated record.